UAUUGCACAAUGGGGGAAACCCUGAUGCAGCGACGCCGCGUGAAGGAAGAAGUAUCUCGGUAUGUAAACUUCUAUCAGCAGGGAAGACAAUCACGGUACCUGACUAAGAAGCCCCGGCUAACUACUUGCCAGCAGCCGCGGUAAUACGUAGGGGGCAAGCGUUAGACGGAUUUACUGGGUGUAAAGGGAGCGUAGACGGAUCUGCAAGUCUGGAGUGAAAGCCCGGGGCUCAACCCCGGGACUGCUUUGGAAACUGUGGAUCUAGAGUGCCGGAGAGGCAAGCGGAAUUCCUAGUGUAGUGGUGAAAUGCGUAGAUAUUAGGAGGAACACCAGUGGCGAAGGCGGCUUACUGGACGGUAACUGACGUUGAGGCUCGAAAGCGUGGGGAGCAAA
RNAcentral lists this ribosomal RNA (393 nucleotides) under uncultured bacterium. Its description in RNAcentral is "bacterial SSU rRNA". It matches the Rfam family "Bacterial small subunit ribosomal RNA", at positions 362 to 772 of the family's 1533-position model. The record is from RNAcentral.